RNAcentral lists this ribosomal RNA (478 nucleotides) under uncultured bacterium. Its description in RNAcentral is "partial 16S ribosomal RNA". It matches the Rfam family "Bacterial small subunit ribosomal RNA", at positions 28 to 523 of the family's 1533-position model. The record is from RNAcentral.
GACGAACGCUGGCGGCGUGCUUAACACAUGCAAGUCGAACGGUAAGGCCCUUCGGGGUACACGAGUGGCGAACGGGUGAGUAACACGUGGGUGAUCUGCCCUGCACUUCGGGAUAAGCCUGGGAAACUGGGUCUAAUACCGGAUAGGACUCCUGGCUUCAUGGUUGGGGGUGGAAAGCUUUUGCGGUGUGGGAUGGGCCCGCGGCCUAUCAGCUUGUUGGUGGGGUAAUGGCCUACCAAGGCGACGACGGGUAGCCGGGCUGAGAGGGUGACCGGUCAUACUGGGACUGAGAUACGGCCAAGACUCCUACGGGAGGCAGCAGUGGGGAAUAUUGCACAAUGGGCGCAAGCCUGAUGCAGCGACGCCGCGUGAGGGAUGACGGCCUUCGGGUUGUAAACCUCUUUCAGCUAUGACGAAGCGCAAGUGACGGUAGUAGCAGAAGAAGGACCGGCCAACUACGUGCCAGCCGCCGCAGUAA